This 481-nucleotide ribosomal RNA is filed under the name uncultured bacterium. RNAcentral describes it as "partial 16S ribosomal RNA". It matches the Rfam family "Bacterial small subunit ribosomal RNA", at positions 28 to 523 of the family's 1533-position model. The record is from RNAcentral.
GACGAACGCUGGCGGCGUGCUUAACACAUGCAAGUCGAACGGUGAAAGGGAGCUUGCUCCCUGGAUCAGUGGCGAACGGGUGAGUAACACGUGGGCAACCUGCCCCAGACUUCGGGAUAACGCUUCGAAAGGAGUGCUAAUACCGGAUACGAACUCCUUGGGCAUCCUUGGGGUUGGAAAGUUUUUCGGUCUGGGAUGGGCCCGCGGCCUAUCAGCUUGGCGGUGAGGUAACGGCUCACCAAGGCGACGACGGGUAGCCGGCCUGAGAGGGCGACGGGCCACACUGGGACUGAGACACGGCCCAGACUCCUACGGGAGGCAGCAGUGGGGAAUAUUGCGCAAUGGGCGAAAGCCUGACGCAGCAACGCCGCGUAAGGGAUUACGGCCUUCGGGUUGUAAACCUCUUUCAGCAGGGAAGAAGCGAAAGUGACGGUACCUGCAGAAGAAGCACCGGCUAACUACGUGCCAGCAGCCGCCGCGG